This is an RNA transcript of Alnus glutinosa, 2555 nucleotides long. RefSeq lists it as uncharacterized. NCBI's taxonomy places the organism in Eukaryota, Viridiplantae, Streptophyta, Magnoliopsida, Fagales, Betulaceae. The transcript has 10 exons. The record is from RefSeq and is a predicted model, not a curated record.
AUAAAUCCGAUAAAUUAUGACAAAGGGUUGUCACCAAUUUUUCUGAAAAAAAUAGGAAUCUGACACCGGUUAAGUGGUAAAGCAGAGACUUGGGAGCUCUGAGUUACGUCCAAAUAUGGAGGUUCAGGUGCCUGUAAUCUUAGUAGAUAGCAGCGAAGACGAAGGGGUUGCAACCAACGGGAAGAAGAGAAAGUACGAAGAGUACAUACAGAUCUCAGACCUGUCUGGUUUUGACAACCUCAGGGCUAUGAUGGAGGCUGAGGCUUUCAUGAGGAGGAACAGAAGGGAGCGAAGGGAGAGAAAGAAAAUGAAGAAGAAACAAACUGAAAAGAAAACAGAGAAAAUAAUAAUGGUGAAUAAAGAGAAACCUGUGAUCUUGAUAACGGACAGUGAAAGUGAAGAUGCAAAUAAAUUGAAGAAGAGAAAAUAUGAAGAUGAGUACAGAGUGAUUGCAGAUCUGACUGGUUUUGACAACCUCAGAGGUAUGAUGGAGGCUGAGGCUUUCAGGAGGAGGAAGACGAGGAAGAAAAAGAAAAAGAAUGGAAAGGCUUUAUCUUAUGCUCAAGAGGAAGUAUCUGAAACCAAUAUGGCAGAAAGAGCAAAGGAAAUAAUAUCGGGAACCAUGGAGCAAGAAAUAGAAAAUCCUAUGAUUUUGACGGCAAGUAGUAAAGAUGAAGAUGCAAAUAACAUGAAAAAAUUGGAAGAUGAGCAUAGAAUCAUUUCAGAUCUGACUGGUUUUGACAACCUCAGAGCUAUGUACGAGGCAGAGGCUCUCAUGAGGAGGAAGAAGAGGAAGAGGAAGAGGAAGAGGUUGAGAAAAGGGAAACAAAAGAUUGUAUAUCAUGCUCGAAAGGAAGUGUCUGUUGAUGCUACGAAAGAUGAGGGGCAGUCAGCUAGAGUUCAAGCAGCAAAAACAACAGAAGGAUUGGAAGCCGCGUCAGUUGAGGUUGAUAUGGCAAGGGGAGAGAAGCAACCUUUAACAAAUAAAGUUAUAGAAAGUGCAUUGUUAUUGAAAAAAAAAAUGGUUGGGAGAAAUUACAAGAUGGUGUCGCAAAGGCUUCUUCAGAGAUCCAGAUACUUUGAUCCUCCAGAUGGCAGCUGGGACAUUGGUGGCAAUUGUGGAGAUGAAUGUCAUACAAUAGUAAACUAUAAAGUGCAGAAGCAAAAGAGGCCAUGCUUCAUAUGUGCAAGUUUUGAUCAUACUUGGAAAUCUUGCAAACAGCGCCUGGAUUCCUUUGUUUGGAAAGGAAAAGGCCACUCUGCAAAAGGUUGUCUGGACAAUCAAAGUUCUAAUAUUUGUCUAAGAUGCGGGGGUUCAGGGCAUAGCAUGUUUUCAUGUAGGAAUGCGUAUUCCCCAGAUGAUCUCAAGAACAUACAAUGUUAUGUGUGCAACAGUUUUGGUCAUCUCUGCUGUGUGGACUUUCUGGGUAUGCAUCCAAGACAACUUUCUUGUUACACCUGUGGCCAGUCUGGCCAUCCUGGAUCUGAAUGCACAAAGUUCCGUGGAGAAAACAAUCACUCAAAAUCUGCAGCAUUAUGCUACCAGGGUGGAGAGGAGGUCAUUUUGUAGUAAGGACGCACAAAUGAUGUUAAAGUCCAUUUCAACUGAUACCCACUUGUUGAAGUUAUUUGAGUUCUUGUAGAGCGAAGGUUGAUUGUUUUUUACAACAAUCUCCGAUCCACACCAUCACCGUGUCUUCCCGAUUUUUCCAAAAUGAAGAAGAACGAGGAAGGUGGGAAAGCCUGUGGUCAAAAUUCCUCGCAUGGAAAGAUGAACCGAGCAAACGGAUGGAGGAGAUCAAGAAAAGAAUUGAAAGCUUUUCUCCACCACGUACCUCUUCAACAAGCCAAUCAUUGCCCAUAAUAGGAGAGUCCAACGUAGGUUCUGCUGGUAUGAAUUUUAUGCCCCAUAUAAUCAAUGUCGAGGCUACCGAGGACGUCACGAUGCCGCCUGAUUUUUCUGGGGAUAUUUCAAGCCCGGAUGGUCGUGUUGUCAAGGAAGGAGUUGCUGGAAUUCUUGUUGCAGCUAAUCCAAUGUAGUUUGGCGUCAACAACAGGGUUCUACCUAGCAACCAGCUUGAGCCGAAACCGAAGAAGCUGAAGAAUGGGUCCGGUAGGCCAAGGGAGUUCCUGUCUCUCUAUCCAGAAGGAGCUAAAAAUAUCAAGGGGGUGCUGCAAUAGAUUGUGAAGAAGAAAGAAGAAGAGAGGAAGCAAGGGUUGGAAGAGCAUGGAGUAAUUUUUACAAAACCAGAAUUCUUCCUUGGGGAUAAGGAAGAUGUUAGGGGAGAGGGAUGAUACGUUCAAAAUUUUAGGGCUUACAUGACAGUACCGAAUCCCCAAGACAGAAGUGAAUAAGGAGUAGAAUCUCCAUAUAUUAUUUCCCUAAGUGUUUUAGUUAAUAAGGAAUGUAUUUUCCAUUAGUUUAUUUCCUCCUUAGUUUAUAUUCCUGCAUUAUGUUAUGACGGCUAAACCUAAUAGUUAUGUCUUAUGACCUAACUGUCUUCUAUAUAAGUGUAACCCUAAUUAAUAAAAUAGCAUGCUGAAUAUUAUGAAAA